UCUCCGUUGGUGAACCAGCGGAGGGAUCAUUACCGAGUCUACAACUCCCAAACCCAAUGUGAACCAUACCAAACUGUUGCCUCGGCGGGGUCACGCCCCGGGUGCGUCGCAGCCCCGGAACCAGGCGCCCGCCGGAGGGACCAACCAAACUCUUUCUGUAGUCCCCUCGCGGACGUUAUUUUUACAGCUCUGAGCAAAAACUCAAAAUGAAUCAAAACUUUCAACAACGGAUCUCUUGGUUCUG
This 244-nucleotide unclassified non-coding RNA is filed under the name plant metagenome. Its description in RNAcentral is "partial contains small subunit ribosomal RNA, internal transcribed spacer 1, and 5.8S ribosomal RNA". The record is from RNAcentral.